Molecule: ribosomal RNA, 253 nt
Filed under: uncultured bacterium
Lineage: Bacteria
Description: partial 16S ribosomal RNA
Rfam family: Bacterial small subunit ribosomal RNA
Source: RNAcentral
UACGUAGGGGGCAAGCGUUGUCCGGAUUUAUUGGGCGUAAAGAGCGUGUAGGCGGCCAUACAGGUCAGCUGUGAAAACUCGAGGCUCAACCUCGAGACGUCGGUUGAAACCGUAUGGCUAGAGUCCGGAAGAGGAGAGUGGAAUUCCCGGUGUAGCGGUGAAAUGCGCAGAUAUCGGGAAGAACACCCGUGGCGAAGGCGGCUCUCUGGGACGGUACUGACGCUGAGACGCGGAAGCGUGGGGAGCGAACAGG